AGAGUUUGAUCCUGGCUCAGAUUGAACGCUGGCGGCAUGCCUAACACAUGCAAGUCGAACGGCAGCACGGGGGCAACCCUGGUGGCGAGUGGCGGACGGGUGAGGAAUGCAUAGGAAUCUGCCCAGUUGUGGGGGAUAACGUAGGGAAACUUACGCUAAUACCGCAUACGACCUACGGGUGAAAGAGGGGGACCUUCGGGCCUCUCGCGAUUGGAUGAGCCUAUGCCGGAUUAGCUAGUUGGCGGGGUAAGAGCCCACCAAGGCGACGAUCCGUAGCUGGUCUGAGAGGAUGAUCAGCCACACUGGAACUGAGACACGGUCCAGACUCCUACGGGAGGCAGCAGUGGGGAAUAUUGGACAAUGGGCGCAAGCCUGAUCCAGCAAUGCCGCGUGUGUGAAGAAGGCCUUCGGGUUGUAAAGCACUUUUGUUUGGGAAGAAAUCCGGUUGGAUAAUACCUGAUCGGGAUGACGGUACCAAAAGAAUAAGCACCGGCUAACUUCGUGCCAGCAGCCGCGGUAAUACGAAGGGUGCAAGCGUUAAUCGGAAUUACUGGGCGUAAAGCGUGCGUAGGUGGUUUGUUAAGUCAGAUGUGAAAGCCCUGGGCUCAACCUGGGAACUGCAUUUGAUACUGGCAGGCUAGAGUGCGGUAGAGGGUGGUGGAAUUCCCGGUGUAGCGGUGAAAUGCGUAGAGAUCGGGAGGAACAUUCGUGGCGAAGGCGGCCACCUGGACCAGCACUGACACUGAGGCACG
RNAcentral lists this ribosomal RNA (752 nucleotides) under uncultured bacterium. RNAcentral describes it as "bacterial SSU rRNA". It matches the Rfam family "Bacterial small subunit ribosomal RNA", at positions 8 to 755 of the family's 1533-position model. The record is from RNAcentral.